RNAcentral lists this ribosomal RNA (450 nucleotides) under uncultured bacterium. RNAcentral describes it as "partial 16S ribosomal RNA". It matches the Rfam family "Bacterial small subunit ribosomal RNA", at positions 354 to 796 of the family's 1533-position model. The record is from RNAcentral.
GUGGGGAAUCUUCCGCAAUGGACGAAAGUCUGACGGAGCAACGCCGCGUGAGUGAUGAAGGUCUUCGGAUUGUAAAGCUCUGUUAAUCGGGACGAAAGAGCCUAGUGUGAAUAAUGCUAGGAAGUGACGGUACCGGAAUAGAAAGCCACGGCUAACUACGUGCCAGCAGCCGCGGUAAUACGUAGGUGGCAAGCGUUGUCCGGAAUUAUUGGGCGUAAAGCGCGCGCAGGCGGUUCUGCCAGUCUGUCUUAAAAGUUCGGUGAUUAACCCCGUGAUGGGAUGGAAACUACAGAUCUAGAGUAUCGGAGAGGAAAGUGGAAUUCCUAGUGUAGCGGUGAAAUGCGUAGAUAUUAGGAAGAACACCAGGGGCGAAGGCGACUUUCUGGACAAAAACUGACGCUGAGGCGCGAAAGCCAGGGGAGCGAACGGGAUUAGAAACCCGGGUAGUCC